GAUGAGCGCUGGCGGCGUGCCUAAUACAUGCAAGUCGAGCGAACGGACGAGAAGCUUGCUUCUCUGAUGUUAGCGGCGGACGGGUGAGUAACACGUGGAUAACCUACCUAUAAGACUGGGAUAACUUCGGGAAACCGUAGCUAAUACCGGAUAAUAUUUUGAACCGCAAGGUUCAAAAGUGAAAGACGGUCUUGCUGACACUAAUAGAUGGAUCCGCGCUGCAUUCUCUAGUUGGUAAGGUAACGGCUUACCAAGGCAACGAUGGAUAGCCGACCUGAGAGCGUGGUCGGCCAGCCUGGAACUGAGACACGGUCCCGACUCCUACGGUAGGCCGCGGUCGGGAAUCUUCCGCGAAGGGCGAAUGCCUGACGUUGCAACGCCGCGUGAGUCAUGAAGGUCUUCGGAUCGUAAAGCUCUGUUAUUAGGAAAGAACAUAUGUGUAAGUAACUGUGCUCAUCUUGACGGUACCUAAUCAGAAAGCCACGGCUAACUCCGUG
This 497-nucleotide ribosomal RNA is filed under the name uncultured bacterium. RNAcentral describes it as "partial 16S ribosomal RNA". It matches the Rfam family "Bacterial small subunit ribosomal RNA", at positions 28 to 507 of the family's 1533-position model. The record is from RNAcentral.